AUAUUAGGGCAUAACUCCCUGAAAACACCAAACCUUGCCUAAUUUCAAAAGAUAAGCUGGGUCAGAUCUGGUCAGUACUUGGAUGGGAGAACACCAGGGGAAUCCAGGAUCUCUAGAUA
This 119-nucleotide ribosomal RNA is filed under the name Pogona vitticeps (central bearded dragon). Lineage: Eukaryota; Metazoa; Chordata; Lepidosauria; Squamata; Agamidae. The record is from RNAcentral.